CCUACGGGGGGCUGCAGUGGGGAAUAUUGGACAAUGGGGGGAACCCUGAUCCAGCCAUGCCGCGUGUGUGAAGAAGGCCCUCGGGUUGUAAAGCACUUUCAGUGAGGAAGAACGCCUGGUGGUUAAUACCCAUCAGGAAAGACAUCACUCACAGAAGAAGCACCGGCUAACUCCGUGCCAGCAGCCGCGGUAAUACGGAGGGUGCGAGCGUUAAUCGGAAUUACUGGGCGUAAAGCGCGCGUAGGUGCUUGAUAAGCCGGUUGUGAAAGCCCCGGGCUCAACCUGGGAACGGCAUCCGGAACUGUCAAGCUAGAGUGCAGGAGAGGAAGGUAGAAUUCCCGGUGUAGCGGUGAAAUGCGUAGAGAUCGGGAGGAAUACCAGUGGCGAAGGCGGCCUUCUGGACUGACACUGACACUGAGGUGCGAAAGCGUGGGUAGCAAACAGGAUUAGAUACCCGGGUAGUC
Molecule: ribosomal RNA, 464 nt
Filed under: Vreelandella stevensii
Lineage: Bacteria; Pseudomonadati; Pseudomonadota; Gammaproteobacteria; Oceanospirillales; Halomonadaceae
Description: partial 16S ribosomal RNA
Rfam family: Bacterial small subunit ribosomal RNA
Source: RNAcentral